GAUCCGCCGAUGGAAAUUAUAUUGCCUUGGUGGGGAGCUUCCCGGAAACGAAAGUCUUCCGGUUCCGGGGGAAGUAUGGUUGCAAAGCUGAAACUUAAAGGAAUUGACGGAAGGGCACCACCAGGAGUGGAGCCUGCGGCUUAAUUUGACUCAACACGGGGAAACUCACCCGGCCCGGACACU
RNAcentral lists this ribosomal RNA (183 nucleotides) under Meloidogyne arenaria. Its description in RNAcentral is "partial 18S ribosomal RNA". It matches the Rfam family "Eukaryotic small subunit ribosomal RNA", at positions 1051 to 1232 of the family's 1831-position model. The record is from RNAcentral. Lineage: Eukaryota; Metazoa; Nematoda; Chromadorea; Rhabditida; Meloidogynidae.